RNAcentral lists this unclassified non-coding RNA (312 nucleotides) under plant metagenome. RNAcentral's name for it is "partial contains 5.8S ribosomal RNA, internal transcribed spacer 2, and large subunit ribosomal RNA". The stretch from base 1 to 105 matches the Rfam family "5.8S ribosomal RNA", at positions 50 to 154 of the family's 154-position model. The record is from RNAcentral.
GAAAUGCGAUAAGUAGUGUGAAUUGCAGAAUUUAGCGAAUCAUCGAAUCUUUGAACGCACAUUGCGCCCCUUGGUAUUCCAUGGGGCAUGCCUGUUCGAGCGUCAUUUCAACCCUCAAGCACUGCUUGGUGUUGGGGAUCGGGCUGCGGUUCUGCCGCGGCCCGGCCCCGAAAUCUAGUGGCGGUCUCGCUGCAGCCUCCAUUGCGUAGUAGCUAACACCUCGCAACUGGAACGCGGCGCGGCCAAGCCGUUAAACCCCCAACUUCUGAAUGUUGACCUCGGAUCAGGUAGGAAUACCCGCUGAACUUAAGC